UUUUCAUAUAACAGGAAACAUAACUCAGACAGGAAGCACAAAUACAACAGCGUAAAAAAAACAGCUUCUUGAAGAACUUUGUAAUUAACAAACAUGUCCUCUACUCUGAGUCUUAGAGUUUUUACAUCUAGUAGAAUGCCUUCAGUAUGGAUGGUGCUUCUUCAUUUUCAUAUAAGCAAUGCUGUUGCAGAGACGAUCAGAGUAUUUGGACGUAAAGGAGACUCCAUAAUCCUUGACCCUGGAAAAAAUAACGUGUGGAAUCAAAGGCAAUCAAUACCUGGAUUUGACAUGAGAUGGAAACAUUCAGAUAUGUAUAUUGUUAAAUAUUCCAAAGUACUGCCUAAUUUCGCUGAAAGGUAUAAGAUAUUUCCAAAUGGUACACUGAUGAUUAGCCAAGGACAUGAGACAGGCCGGGAAAAUUAUACAGUGGAACAAUAUAAUGGUAAUGGAGGUCUGAUAUCCCAGCGGAACAUUGAGCUCUGUGUGCUAGAACCAGUCACCAAACCAAAGGUGAGAUACUUUUGUUCUCAUAACGGAACGAUUAUUCUGAACUGCUCUGUUGAUAAAGGAGACCAGGUGGUGAUCAACUGGAUUGUGCAGGAUUUCUUGUCUAAUAACAUCCUGAGCACAGAUCCUGUCAUAUUUAUGGGCGACCAAAUGCCUGGAAAUCUGUCCUGUGUGGCAAAGAAUGAAAUAAGUAAAGAAUGCAUCAGCCCAGAUGUUCAUAGAUGCAGAGGUUACUAUUCAACUGUAACUGCAUUUGGACUCCUGGCAUUUGCCCUAUUGAUGCUCGUGGUGACCAUUCUGGAUUUGAAAAAGUGGUGCAAGAAGACAAAACCAGCAGGUGUGGAGGAGGACCACUAUGUUGAGAUGAAAGGAGAUUUAUUCAUUCAGCAACAGGAGGAAGCCACAGCCGACCCAGACCAAGGCAUCUCCCAAAACGGUAACACACACAGCAAAAAAUCUAUCUCAAAAUACUUGUUGCUUUGGGGCAAUCCAUUCCGUGUAAAUGUUUAGGGUUUUAGUCUGGUUGUCAGUAUAAGCACUUUCAACAACUGCUAAUAUAAAAAGGGAUUUGCAAAAAGUGUUCGAUUCCCUGAUUAAAUGACACUAUACAUUGCGAACUUCCUCAAGUGAUGCAAAUAGGAAUGUUUUCUCUAUUUCACUAGUAGAAACUGGACAGCCAUAUUUCCAGGAUGUAAGCAAACCUCUAUAUUCGGAUUCAUAGCGAUUUCAUUGCAAUUUUCAGAGAUCAGAAGUGCCAUUGUUUCACAAUUUUAAAAAGACUGCCUAGCUAGUGAGCCCUCUAGAAUCUGUAAAAACUAUGGCAACAAUUUUGGCCACCUUUAAGGGUGAGAACACGAUGUGCAAAAUAUCUAAAAUACUGCUGUGGUUCAUAAAUAUAAAUAUGAACACUCACAUAAAUAGAUGGGUGACAAAUUAAAGACAAAAACAACAUGAUGUGUCUCAUUAAGGUGUUGGGCCCCCAAGAGCUGCCAAAAUAGUUUCAACAUGCAUUGGCAUAAAUCCCACAAGUCUCCAGAACUUUACUGGAGGGAUGGAACACCAUUCUUCCUAAAGAUAUUGCCUCAUUUGGUGUUUUGAUGAUGGUGGUGGAGAGCUCUGUCUAACACUUAGAGCCUUUCUUCUUGCCACCUUGAUCCGAAAUCUAGGUCAACUAGGUCUGCCUAGAUUUUUCAUACAUGCCACAAAGCAUGACAGGUUGUUAAUUGCUUAACAGUUUUAGAUGAGAUUCAACUUUAUUGUCAUUGAACAGUACAAGCACAUUACAACAAAAUGCAGUUAGCAUCUAACCAGGAGUGCAAAUAGAAGAGGGCAGAAAUGUACAAGUAUUAAGUAUAAUGAAUUAUACAAGUGGGAUGUAUAGAUGUGCAACAAAGGCAAAUGCAAGUACAAAUGACAAUUCUAAAUAUGCAACGAAGGCAAAUAGAAGGUAGCAUGUGCAACUGAAAUGCAGGGAUAUCAGCAAUGAGGUCCCAGAGGAAGACAUGUAUAUGUAACAACUUAAAACAUCCUUAUCAGACUUUGUAAAGCAGUGUCAGAGUCCAGUAGUACAAGGAGAGUAGUGCAAAAAGAUCCCUGAGAGGCAGUACUAGCGGUGGGUGGGUAUGGUUCGUGAUGGGUCACAGAGUUCAGCAGGGUUACAGUAGAUGGAAAGAAACUGCUGGUGUGAGAACGAAGAGACCUGUACCGUCUGCCUGAUGGUUGGAGGGCAAAUAUGGAGUUAGAUGUGUCUCAAUAUUCGUAAAUAUAUCUAGAAAAUCUGUGCGUAUAGUUAUCACAACUCACAAAUAAAAA
Long non-coding RNA from Esox lucius (northern pike), 2319 nucleotides. The record is from Ensembl. Lineage: Eukaryota; Metazoa; Chordata; Actinopteri; Esociformes; Esocidae.